RNAcentral lists this non-coding RNA (28 nucleotides) under Cricetulus griseus (Chinese hamster). Lineage: Eukaryota; Metazoa; Chordata; Mammalia; Rodentia; Cricetidae. The record is from RNAcentral.
CAGUGACCUGUUUAACAUACUUGAAUGU